RNAcentral lists this non-coding RNA (80 nucleotides) under human gut metagenome. RNAcentral's name for it is "aspS RNA". It matches the Rfam family "aspS RNA". RNAcentral also lists the same sequence under 1 other name. The record is from RNAcentral.
GCGCCGGUGCCGUCUACGCCUCGCGCGCAGUCUGACGAUGUCGCCGCCCGUAACGGCACGGGGCGGCGCAGACGAGAGGA